Molecule: ribosomal RNA, 309 nt
Filed under: uncultured bacterium
Lineage: Bacteria
Description: partial 16S ribosomal RNA
Rfam family: Bacterial small subunit ribosomal RNA
Source: RNAcentral
AGAGACAGCAGUAGCCGCGGUAAUACAGAGGGUGCGAGCGUUAAUCGGAUUUACUGGGCGUAAAGCGUGCGUAGGCGGCUUCUUAAGUCGGAUGUGAAAUCCCUGAGCUUAACUUAGGAAUUGCAUUCGAUACUGGGAAGCUAGAGUAUGGGAGAGGAUGGUAGAAUUCCAGGUGUAGCGGUGAAAUGCGUAGAGAUCUGGAGGAAUACCGAUGGCGAAGGCAGCCAUCUGGCCUAAUACUGACGCUGAGGUACGAAAGCAUGGGGAGCAAACAGGAUUAGAUACCCGGGUAGUCCCUGUCUCUUAUAC